RNAcentral lists this ribosomal RNA (200 nucleotides) under uncultured bacterium. RNAcentral's name for it is "partial 16S ribosomal RNA". It matches the Rfam family "Bacterial small subunit ribosomal RNA", at positions 406 to 598 of the family's 1533-position model. The record is from RNAcentral.
UGAAGAANGCCUGCGGGUNGUAAANNNCUUUCGGUGGGAACGAAAUAUGCCGGGUUAAUACCCCGGUAGGCUGACGUUACUCAAUGAAGAAGCACCGGCUAACUCUGUGCCAGCAGCCGCGGUAAUACAGAGGGUGCGAGCGUUAAUCGGAAUUACUGGGCGUAAAGCGCACGUAGGUGGCGACGUAAGUGCGGGUGUGA